AAAAAAAAAAAAACAAAAAAAAUCGCCUUUUACAACUGCAAGUUGAUUAACAUUCUAGCAUAAGCACAUAGAAAAUGAUCACCUAUUUUCUCUGUUGUAAAAAGCUUCCGAAGAGCAGCAAUAUGGCCAUCUGCUAAGUCCAUGACAUGGAUGUAGUCACGGAUCUGUUAAUUGAGAACCAUAAGGAUAUUAGAGAACUAUUAGAUAAGUACUAGAAUAGGGGAAAAUAUAUAAUCCACAUCAAAACAGAACUGCUAAAUGGAUUUUGAUAAAGGCAUUUCAUAUGACAAUUUCAAGUGCUUAGCAUUAUCAUGUGAAGAGAACGAUUUUCCUAAAAGAACACAUACCGCACU
RNAcentral lists this unclassified non-coding RNA (353 nucleotides) under Hevea brasiliensis (rubber tree). Lineage: Eukaryota; Viridiplantae; Streptophyta; Magnoliopsida; Malpighiales; Euphorbiaceae. The record is from RNAcentral.